RNAcentral lists this ribosomal RNA (312 nucleotides) under Triticum aestivum (bread wheat). RNAcentral's name for it is "partial small subunit ribosomal RNA". Lineage: Eukaryota; Viridiplantae; Streptophyta; Magnoliopsida; Poales; Poaceae. The record is from RNAcentral.
AUGAGGCUGGAUGCAGCGCUGGAGGCCAGACCGCUAUCACCUGAAGAGCUACACCUGAGGAAGCAGCUAAAACUAAAGGUUCUUGGGCUGGCAGCAAUUGAAAGGGCUCGCAAGAAGCAGGCCUCCAGGAUUUCUUGGCUCCGCGGAGGAGAUGCAAACUCAAAGUUCUUUCAUGCCCGUGUCCUCUCACGUUGUAGAAAAAACUACAUCCACUCGAUCAAGCACGGAGACGCCAUUGUCACAGAGCCGUGGGAGAAAGCUAAGUUGGCCUUCGAUCACUUCGCCCACGGCCUCGGGGACUCCUGGCAUUGA